AUUGAACGCUGGCGGAAUGCUUUACACAUGCAAGUCGAACGGUAACGCGGGGCAACCUGGCGACGAGUGGCGAACGGGUGAGUAAUGUAUCGGAACGUGCCCAGUUGUGGGGGAUAACUGCUCGAAAGAGCAGCUAAUACCGCAUACGACCUGAGGGUGAAAGCGGGGGAUCGCAAGACCUCGCGCAGUUGGAGCGGCCGAUAUCAGAUUAGGUAGUUGGUGGGGUAAAGGCUCACCAAGCCAACGAUCUGUAGCUGGUCUGAGAGGACGACCAGCCACACUGGGACUGAGACACGGCCCAGACUCCUACGGGAGGCAGCAGUGGGGAAUUUUGGACAAUGGGCGCAAGCCUGAUCCAGCCAUGCCGCGUGCGGGAAGAAGGCCUUCGGGUUGUAAACCGCUUUUGUCAGGGAAGAAAAGACUCCUGUUAAUACCGGGGGUUCAUGACGGUACCUGAAGAAUAAGCACCGGCUAACUACGUGCCAGCAGCCGCCGUAA
This 498-nucleotide ribosomal RNA is filed under the name uncultured bacterium. Its description in RNAcentral is "partial 16S ribosomal RNA". It matches the Rfam family "Bacterial small subunit ribosomal RNA", at positions 29 to 523 of the family's 1533-position model. The record is from RNAcentral.